GUGCAAUAAGCUACUCCUUCAAAUGGCUCUAAGAGAUAAUUUUUGUCAUAAGUUGGUGUCCACCAGGGCCGCAGCUGCAAUUCUUCAUUGAAGGUCAAUGAUUUGGUUCCAAUUUCAUCUGUGAGUUCAAGAAACUGAACUCCUUGUUUCAAGCUUUCAAGAAUGCCCUCCCCUUCUUCAAUAUUAUUUGCUUUCUGCUUUAACUGCAGAAUGGAUAUUUCAAUCUUUGCCAUCAAAUACUGGCUAGAUUGUUGCAAUCGCUCCUUGAAUUGAACAAACUCAAUAACUUUAGAAUAACUUCGAUGACGAUAGGCAAGAAAUGUAAGAUCA
Molecule: unclassified non-coding RNA, 330 nt
Filed under: Hevea brasiliensis (rubber tree)
Lineage: Eukaryota; Viridiplantae; Streptophyta; Magnoliopsida; Malpighiales; Euphorbiaceae
Source: RNAcentral